UCUUCCGCAAUGGACGAAAGUCUGACGGAGCAACGCCGCGUGAGUGAUGAAGGUUUUCGGAUCGUAAAACUCUGUUGUUAGGGAAGAACAAGUACCGUUCGAAUAGGGCCCCACCUUGACGGUACCUAACCAGAAAGCCACGGCUAACUACGUGCCCGACGCCGCGGUAAUACGUAGGAGGCAAGCGUUGUCCGGAAUUAUUGGGCGUAAAUCGCGCGCAGGCGGUUUCUUAAGUCUGAUGUGAAAGCCCCCGACUCAACCGGGGAGGGUCAUUGGAAACUGGGGAACUUGAGUGCAGAAGAGGAGAGUGGAAUUCCACGUGUAGCGGUGAAAUGCGUAGAGAUGUGGAGGAACACCAGUGGCGAAGGCGACUCUCUGGUCUGUAACUGACGCUGAGGCGCGAAAGCGUGGGGAGCGAACAG
This 422-nucleotide ribosomal RNA is filed under the name uncultured bacterium. RNAcentral describes it as "bacterial SSU rRNA". It matches the Rfam family "Bacterial small subunit ribosomal RNA", at positions 362 to 775 of the family's 1533-position model. The record is from RNAcentral.